GAGUUUGAUUAUGGCUCAGGAUGAACGCUGGCGGCGUGCUUAACACAUGCAAGUCGAGCGAGAAUGUAUGGAUGACGCUUCGGUAGAUUCCAUACAGGAAAGCGGCGGACGGGUGAGUAACGCGUAGGCAACCUGCCCUGUACAGAGGGAUAGCGUCGGGAAACCGGCAUUAAACCCUCAUGAUACCACACGGUCACAUGGCCGAGUGGUCAAAGAUUCAUCGGUAUGGGAUGGGCCUGCGUCUGAUUAGUUGGUUGGUGGGGUAACGGCUCACCAAGGCGAUGAUCAGUAGCCGACCUGAGAGGGUGAACGGCCACAUUGGAACUGAGACACGGUCCAAACUCCUACGGGAGGCAGCAGUGGGGAAUAUUGCACAAUGGGCGCAAGCCUGAUGCAGCAACGCCGCGUGAGCGAAGAAGGCCUUUGGGUCGUAAAGCUCUGUCCUGGGGAAAGAAAGAAAUGACG
This 465-nucleotide ribosomal RNA is filed under the name Peptostreptococcaceae bacterium canine oral taxon 074. Its description in RNAcentral is "bacterial SSU rRNA". It matches the Rfam family "Bacterial small subunit ribosomal RNA", at positions 9 to 474 of the family's 1533-position model. The record is from RNAcentral. Lineage: Bacteria; Bacillati; Bacillota; Clostridia; Peptostreptococcales; Peptostreptococcaceae.